Molecule: long non-coding RNA, 314 nt
Filed under: Lathyrus oleraceus (garden pea)
Lineage: Eukaryota; Viridiplantae; Streptophyta; Magnoliopsida; Fabales; Fabaceae
Description: Pisum sativum (pea) long non-coding RNA (PSAT_LNC027956)
Source: RNAcentral
UUUAUUUUCUGCGCCCUUUGGCAAUCAUUAUUCUACCUGACCGUUUGAUAUCUUCCCCCUGCCCCCUUUUUUUUUGUUUUUGGUUUAGGCGUUUCUUGCAUUUUUUUUUAUUUUUUUUUUUGCAGGAUCGACCUCGAUUCCUCUUAUCCGCUCACAAUAAGCCUCGGCAGCUUAACGGACAGCACUCCAUAAGUGCGCUAAUUCGAACUCAACAGUAUGAGUUAUCUCUACCUGUCAAACAACUGGAUCAAGUCCACCGGAUGCCCCUCUUCUGCUUGGGACUUUGUCAUCAUGUCAUCAAUAUGGUAUUUGCU